RNAcentral lists this ribosomal RNA (492 nucleotides) under uncultured bacterium. RNAcentral describes it as "partial 16S ribosomal RNA". It matches the Rfam family "Bacterial small subunit ribosomal RNA", at positions 29 to 507 of the family's 1533-position model. The record is from RNAcentral.
AGUGAACGCUGGCGGUAGGCCUAACACAUGCAAGUCGAACGGCAGCACAGUAAGAGCUUGCUCUUACGGGUGGCGAGUGGCGGACGGGUGAGGAAUACAUCGGAAUCUACUUUUUCGUGGGGGAUAACGUAGGGAAACUUACGCUAAUACCGCAUACGACCUACGGGUGAAAGCAGGGGAUCUUCGGACCUUGCGCGAUUGAAUGAGCCGAUGUCGGAUUAGCUAGUUGGCGGGGUAAAGGCCCACCAAGGCGACGAUCCGUAGCUGGUCUGAGAGGAUGGUCAGCCACACUGGAACUGAGACACGGUCCAGACUCCUACGGGAGGCAGCAGUGGGGAAUAUUGGACAAUGGGCGCAAGCCUGAUCCAGCCAUACCGCGUGGGUGAAGAAGGCCUUCGGGUUGUAAAGCCCUUUUGUUGGGAAAGAAAAGCAGCGGGUUAAUACCCCGCUGUUCUGACGGUACCCAAAGAAUAAGCACCGGCUAACUUCGUG